Alnus glutinosa is the source of this 1069-nucleotide long non-coding RNA. RefSeq lists it as uncharacterized. The record is from RefSeq and is a predicted model, not a curated record. Lineage: Eukaryota; Viridiplantae; Streptophyta; Magnoliopsida; Fagales; Betulaceae. The transcript has 4 exons.
UCUUCACUUACUCAAAAAUGGACGGAAGCAGAACCUAGCAGUAGCUGGCACAAAUCCAUGUUGCAGUUCCUGAACCGGACUAAGUCCUUUUUCUUCCUAGAUGUGUACCCGUUUUUUUUCCCUUGGUCUUCCGACCCGGUCAAUAUCAAACUAGACUACGCUCUGUUGCAGGCCAAGCUUCCGGUGGAGCCGGAGUAACCGACAGGCUCGAGUAAACCGUAGCAGAUCCGUGUUCUGGCCGGAGCAGGAGACGUCGACGAGCCGAGCUUCCGGUGAUCCAGCCCAAAUCCGACGGGCCCAGCAGCAACCCAGAACCGGAAUCCACGAUACCCAGCAACCCUGGAUCCGUGAAGCCCGUGAAGCCAGACCGCGCGUGCGUGCAACCCAGAGACCCAAGAUCCGGAUCCGAGCCAUUCCCGUCGAUGCCGCGAAGACCCGUAAAGCACGAACCCAGAACCCCGUGCUGGAUGGCAUUUUCCGACGAUCGGGAUGGUGUUUUCCAGCGACAAACUCGACCACUUCAGGCCAGCCCGACCCGGCAACAACCCGAUCCGUCAACCCGUGACCCGGAACCCUGACCCGCCGUCGACCCGCCGCCGGCAGUGUCUCCGGCGACUUUCCGGCGACUUUCCGGUGACUUUUUCGGCUAUUUUCCCCGGCGACCAAACUCACCGUUUCGCUGGAUUUUCGAGUGGAAAUCCUUAAUAUGAUGAAUUGAGACAGCACAAAAAGGACUAUGACUGUGCAGGCACAGACACUGACGAGUAUCAGGAUUAUCAGGAGCCUUAUGAUGAUUCUGGUUUCAUAGAUGACACUGUCUAAAGUCUCCUUUUUAUGAUAGACUUGCUGAACAGUUUAUCUUCCAUGUCGUUAUUAGGUUUUAUUUUAUGUACUUUCUAGACAUCUUAUGCUUUAUUUUAUGGUUUGUAAUAUGACUACUAUUACAUAGAACGUGUGCCGUGGUGGCCCUUAUGUUAUUGCUUUUAUGUGUAUUUAUUUGUAAGACCUUUUAUUAUUAUUUUAAUGUAAGUUGAGGUAUUUAAUUUAAAGGCUCUAAUGUGUUAUUUAA